RNAcentral lists this ribosomal RNA (377 nucleotides) under uncultured bacterium. RNAcentral's name for it is "bacterial SSU rRNA". It matches the Rfam family "Bacterial small subunit ribosomal RNA", at positions 790 to 1167 of the family's 1533-position model. The record is from RNAcentral.
GUAGUCCACGCCGUAAAUGAUGAGUGCUAGGUGUCGGGGGUCAAACCUCGGUGCCGGAGCUAACGCAUUAAGCACUCCGCCUGGGGAGUACGUACGCAAGUAUGAAACUCAAAGGAAUUGACGGGGACCCGCACAAGCAGCGGAGCAUGUGGUUUAAUUCGAAGCAACGCGAAGAACCUUACCAGGACUUGACAUGGUAUUGACCGGUCUAGAGAUAGGUCUUUCCCUUCGGGGACAAUACACACAGGUGGUGCAUGGUUGUCGUCAGCUCGUGUCGUGAGAUGUUGGGUUAAGUCCCGUAACGAGCGCAACCCCUAUUUUUAGUUGCUAACAGGUUAAGCUGAGCACUCUAGAGAGACUGCCGAUGAUAAAUCGGA